AGCCUCCAGGCUGUGUGAUUGUUGCCUCCGAUCUUUGACCACGGAUGUACUGGCACGGAUCGUUGAGGCAAUUGUGGGAAGGCCGGGGAGACCCGGCCUUUUUCAU
Molecule: small RNA, 106 nt
Filed under: Ancylobacter novellus DSM 506
Lineage: Bacteria; Pseudomonadati; Pseudomonadota; Alphaproteobacteria; Hyphomicrobiales; Xanthobacteraceae
Description: Starkeya novella DSM 506 Alphaproteobacterial sRNA ar35
Rfam family: Alphaproteobacterial sRNA ar35
Source: Rfam by way of RNAcentral